Molecule: ribosomal RNA, 186 nt
Filed under: uncultured bacterium
Lineage: Bacteria
Description: partial 16S ribosomal RNA
Rfam family: Bacterial small subunit ribosomal RNA
Source: RNAcentral
CCUAUAUGAAGUCGGAAUUGCUAGUAAUCGCAGAUCAGCAUGCUGCGGUGAAUACGUUCCCGGGCCUUGUACACACCGCCCGUCACACCAUGAGAGUCGAUAACACCCGAAGCCUGUAGUCUAACCAUAAGGAGGACGCAGUCGAAGGUGGGAUUGAUAAUUAGGGUGAAGUCGUAACAAGGUAAC